AGCAGUAUGGUGUAAUGAUGCACACGUGAUUUUCUUACAUUCAAGGUGAUGUGUAAUCCCCGAGGUCCUUGUUCGAAUCAAGGUGCUGCUC
Non-coding RNA from Mycena leptocephala, 91 nucleotides. The record is from the annotation of a GenBank genome assembly. NCBI's taxonomy places the organism in Eukaryota, Fungi, Basidiomycota, Agaricomycetes, Agaricales, Mycenaceae.